CAAUAUUAAUUUUAAUAUUAAGUAUUUUUUCAAAUACUAUUGCAGCAAGCAAUACUGAUUUUGUUUCGGAUGGCCUAUAUAGAAACGACCAAAAUAACCGGGUUAAUUUUCCUUACCCAAAUCACAGACAGAGAUCUUUUAUGUCAAAUCAAGAAGAAAACAUGGAACAUUUUCCACAAAAACGUCAUCGAAGAAAAUAUAAAAAACCUUGAAUAGUGGAGAGGCCACAUAAGCAACAAGAAUUGUUACAAGAAAUUCGUGACCAAGAAGAAUUUGUUGACUCAAAUGAAGAACAUCAAGAUCCCCCCCAUCGGAAGGAAGUUACGAGUCCCCAAAUCAUUAUCAUGGAUAUCAAAACCUUAGACCUUAUCACGUUUUAAAACGUGAUGCAGAGAAAAAUUUAAUCUAUGAAGACCAAGGUAAAGAGGACCAAGAUCUGGAUGACGUUUUCAGCCAAAGAAGAAAUACAAAGCAAGAAAGAAAUCUGAAUUUACAGAAAAUACCCCUACAGGACUCCCGGGAAAAUCUUUUUCCACCAGAACACCGUCAUCAGAAUGAAGAUGUUUAUGUAAACAGCCAAAAGCAUCUGGAACCCGAGCUUCUCGGAUAACUGGUUCAAGUUCAACAGAAAAUGCUAGAUAUAUCAUUGGAAAUAAAAAUCGAGAAACUGUGAGUCCCCGAUCCAAACCUGAUCAAAAGUUUGUAGAUGACCACAAUACUUUCGAACCAAAAUUUCGAUCUGGUGGGGAGGAUCUGGAAGAAUCAGAAAAUACCCUAGGCAAGGCAACUAAACUGGUCCAUCAGUGGGCCGAAAGUCUUUAACCGAGAUCUUAAAAGCAAAUAAUUUCGAACAAGGCUCCAAGAACGUACAGUCCCAAUAUCAAAUAUUACUUGAGAAAAAAAUCAAUCAAUUGAUUGAUUCAAUAAAGCAACUACGAGAGGACUAUAAGCUAUAGGAUUUAAAAAACGGAAGUAAAACCAACGAGGACAAAGAAAAAUCAGAGACAGCUAAACCUUCAGAUAAGGAAAAGGACAGCUGUGAAGAAUCAAACGAUAAAUUGGAUAAAAAUAAGAAAAUUGAUAAUUCGACGGUCGAAGAAGAGUCAACAACGCAGAGCUCUGUUCUUUCUAAUUCUACAAUUAUGCCAGUAACAGGCGGCGCUUCGACUCCUUCCAUAUCAACUCAUGAACAUGAAACUACAGGGUUGCCCAUAUUCGACGGACCCAUGUUUUUUUUUUAAAAACCA
Drosophila ficusphila is the source of this 1247-nucleotide long non-coding RNA. RefSeq lists it as uncharacterized. Lineage: Eukaryota; Metazoa; Arthropoda; Insecta; Diptera; Drosophilidae. The transcript has 2 exons. The record is from RefSeq and is a predicted model, not a curated record.